CCUUCAAAUUUCUGUCUUUUUCCGUUCCACUCUUCAAAACCGAAGAGUGAGAGAGAGAAAGAUAGAGAGAGAAAGAGAGAGACUGAACUACUACACUAUGGAGUAGAGAGAGAAAACAAAAAUCUCAUCACCAGAGAGAGAAAGAGGGAGAAAAGAGUCCGUUAAUUUCAGUUUAAAAGAGAGAGAAAAAAAAAAUGGUGACAGAGGAACAAAUAUCGGAAGCGGUGUCGUCGUUGCUGCGCGAAUUGAACCCUAGCCAGCGGAGCUUCACGACGCUGAACCAGGUGGUGGAGGAGCUGCAGGCCAAGCUCGGUCACGACCUCUCUCACAAGCUCGAUUUCAUCACUGCGCAGAUCAACCUCCUUUUCGGAUCCCAACCACAACCACCACAACCUCCGCCGCAAAAUGCGCAGUUGCAGAUACAGCAGCAGAAAGACCGUUUCGCCCCUCCACCAAACCCUAAUUUCCACUCUGUUCCUGUCAGUUCCGGCUUCCAGGCUACCAAAUUCCCUUCUUCUAACGCUGUCGUCGCCACUCCUGCUGAUAUUUCGCGCGUUGAAGCUCCUGCUCCUGCUCCUGCCCCUGCUCCUGCUCCUGCUAGCGAUGCUCCGAAGGAAAGUACUCAAACAAAGGUGAAGAGAAGAGGUGGCCCUGGAGGUCUCACCAAACUUUGUGGUGUAUCGCCUGAACUUCAGGUCAUUGUUGGCCAGCCAGCACUGUCGAGGACCGAGAUUGUGAAGCAACUGUGGGCUUACAUAAGGAAAAACAAUCUUCAAGAUCCCAGCAACAAAAGGAAAAUAAUUUGCAAUGAAGAGCUGCGUGUGGUGUUUGAGACCGAUUGUACUGAUAUGUUCAAGAUGAACAAGUUGCUAGCUAAACACAUUAUCCCCCUUGAACCAACCAAAAAGCCUGUUCCAAAGAAGCAGAAGGUAGAUGUGGACUCAGGAAAAAGAACUGCUGAACCUACUCCCUCUGUAAUAAUAUCUGAUGCACUGGGUAACUUUUUGGGAUUACUGAAAGGGAGAUGCUACAGUCUGAGGUUCUGAGACGUAUCUGGGAGUACAUAAAAGUCAACCGGCUAGAGGAUCCUAUGAAUCCUAUGGCAAUACUGUGUGAUGCGAAGCUUCAGGAGAUUUUUGGCUGUGAAAGCAUUUCAGCAUUGGGAAUACCUGAAGUUCUGGGCCGUCAUCAUAUUUUUAGGAGUUCAUGAUGCUGACAGCAUUCUAUGUGACAGAUUGCAGGGUGUUAAUUCCAGUAUAGUUGGAGCUGAUCUUGACCUGAUGUUGAUAUGGUUCUGUAAUUUGACUGAUCAGAUUUGUGUUGUUAGUUGAUGUUGAUAAGUUAUUAGCAGAAUGAAAAUGUAAUAGAGACAAGUAUUAGUUUGGGAGUGAUGUGUUUGUAGGUGUUGCAGUUGUUGUUUGUCUAACUUGGCAUUUAGGAUAGAAUGACCAGUGGGUGGGUAUUCUGACACCUGUAAAAUUCUCUGACAAUAGGAAAGAAAAUUAUGUACAAGGUAUCUUCCUUCAAACACUACUCAUGUCAUUUAUGUGUAGCUAAUGAAAUGCAGCUGGCCAGAUGAUGAUGUACA
This is a non-coding RNA of Vigna unguiculata (cowpea), 1588 nucleotides long. Lineage: Eukaryota; Viridiplantae; Streptophyta; Magnoliopsida; Fabales; Fabaceae. The record is from RefSeq and is a predicted model, not a curated record.